UUUUUUUCCUUUUAAAUCCUCUCUCCGGAGGUUAGCGGAAGGAGAGGAAGAAAGACAGUGGGAAAUCAACAAAAUGUGCAACACCAAAGAGUAGAUUUUCGCGGGGUUUUCUUGUCAACUUAGCAACAGCCGCACGCGAGGAGACGUCAUCACGUGAGGCCCCCCCCGCCCCGCCUUUACUCUCAGCCCGGCUGCGGUUUGCAGGAGCUCCAAUUUCUGGCCGAGGCGGCAGCGGCGGGGCACCGCGAAGGAAGCGGGAGGCCCGCCGAGCCCGCCCCGCCCCACACAAGCUGCCGCCCGCCGCUGCAGUGGCCCCACCCACCGACAAAUGCAGGGGAAGCGGAAAGAGCGGGAGCUGGCGUGGGACCCGAGAGGGAAGACUGGAACUUGGGAGUUUGAAUCUGAACAUUUGCCUACAAUUUAUCCUCAGUAACUGCCGUGCCUUUAACAAGCUGGACUACACUUAACACAUGUUCUUUGGUGGAGCAGAGAUGACUUGUCCGUCCUAUCCAAGAAAUGAGGAAGAGGUCAUGUAUUCUUUGAGGAGUUUCCCCUGCCCACCCAAUCCUCUCACUUUUGGAAGCAAUCAGGAGGAGCAAAACAAGCACGGUCAGAUAAGGCUGGAUGGUGAGGAGGAGAUGCUGGAUGUAGCUGCUGGAGGCACUGAAGCUAAGAUCAAGGGAUUGAUACUGAUACUUAGAUACAGAAAUGAUGACAUAAUAUGGCAUGCUUCCUCCGUCUCACACAGCUUAAAUACCAAGGGAAUAACUUUAAAUCUUGCUGGAUGGAACUGACACUCACCGCUAGAAAUCGGGGAUCGACAGCAAACUCUGGAUGACCCUGUAACCACAUCUCCAGUUCAGCCCGGCGAGGGGCAUCCUCUCCCACCAGCAAAGUACCAUCCACCUUAUUGAUGACAGGGAUCCGGGUGUCCAGGUCCACAUCAAGGUGAUUAGGCUCUUCCAUGCAUUCCACCUCCAGCUGCAAACCCAGAAUCCACCCCCAUGAGCACAUACUCUUCUUUGGGGGUGGGGAGCGAGGGGGAGUAGAGCCAAUGGUAUCCAUAAAAUAAUUCUAGUAUCUCCUAGUCCCUUAAUCCCAUCUGUCUUCAUUGAUAAGUAGAAAUAAAAAUAAUCAUGUUAAAGACUUUGUCUAUCACUCACCUCGACCAGCUUCUUUCUAUUUCCUUUCUUCUUAUGAAACAGAGGAUGUCCAUCUCCCAUUACUCCAUUAGCCAUCAACUUGUGCUUCUGGAAUGUUAACUUCAAUCCUUCCUCCUGAGAAGACAACCCAACCACCCAAGAUGUCAUAUGGCAUAUGUUUUUAAAUUUUGUGAACUGAGCUGCUGCUGUGGUGACUGCAGACACUUCCUCCUCUGCCAUGGAAGCCGCGCUGCUACUUCGUGGUGUGGGGACUGGAGAGUCACCAUAUUCUCCUGGAGUCAAGGAGGGACUAUCUAGCAAGUGGUUGCCAGGCCCCAGAAUUCCUCCUGUUACCAUCUCCUGGCUCCGGCGGCUAGAAGGCCACUUCCCUGAGAGUACGGCCUGGCAGACGAGGUCAAUACGGUUUAUAAGGACACGAUCCUGAGUGGGGAGAAAAGAAAUCAAUACUGGUUUUAGGGACUGAGAACCAGCUAUGUGAUUCUGUGACAAGCAAUACUGCCACCAUUAUCAGAAUGGGUAAAAAUCACAAGGUAGAAGGAGGGAGGUAAUAGUAUCAGAUCCCUACGUCGACUGGGAAGAGUUUAAUAAAACAAACAAAGAAACAAAUAUGUAGCACUAAAUAUAAUUAAAGAAAACCAAAACCA
This is a long non-coding RNA of Suricata suricatta (meerkat), 1807 nucleotides long. RefSeq lists it as uncharacterized. Lineage: Eukaryota; Metazoa; Chordata; Mammalia; Carnivora; Herpestidae. The transcript is spliced from 6 exons. The record is from RefSeq and is a predicted model, not a curated record.